GGUUGAAUGGUGUAACGGUAGCACAUAAGAUUCUGAUUCUUGUGACCUGGGUUCGACUCCCAGUUCGACCU
Molecule: non-coding RNA, 71 nt
Organism: Terfezia claveryi
Lineage: Eukaryota; Fungi; Ascomycota; Pezizomycetes; Pezizales; Pezizaceae
Source: the annotation of a GenBank genome assembly